GGCGGCGUAGCGCAGCGGUGGUAGCGCCGGACGCGUGUCCGGUGUCGCGAGCGCGUCGGCACCGGUUCCGGUCGCCAUCACCA
RNAcentral lists this transfer RNA (83 nucleotides) under Actinopolymorpha pittospori. Its description in RNAcentral is "tRNA-OTHER". Lineage: Bacteria; Bacillati; Actinomycetota; Actinomycetes; Propionibacteriales; Actinopolymorphaceae. The record is from RNAcentral.